This 467-nucleotide ribosomal RNA is filed under the name uncultured bacterium. RNAcentral describes it as "partial 16S ribosomal RNA". It matches the Rfam family "Bacterial small subunit ribosomal RNA", at positions 28 to 507 of the family's 1533-position model. The record is from RNAcentral.
GAUGGACGCUGGCGGCGCGCCUAACACAUGCAAGUCGAACGAUUAAAGCACCUUCGGGUGUGUAUAAAGUGGCGAACGGCUGAGUAACACGUGGGCAACCUGCCCCUUUCAUUGGGAUAGCCACGGGAAACCGUGGAUAAUACCGAAUACUUCGAGACUUCCGCAUGGAAGACUCGAGAAAGCUCCGGCGGAGAGGGAUGGGCCCGCGGCCUGUUAGCUUGUUGGUGGGGUAACGGCCUACCAAGGCAAUGAUGGGUAGCUGGGUUGAGAGACCGACCAGCCAGAUUGGGACUGAGACACGGCCCAGACUCCUACGGGAGGCAGCAGUGGGGAGUCUUGCACAAUGGGCGAAAGCCUGAUGCAGCGACGCCGCGUGCGGGAUGAAGGCCUUCGGGUUGUAAACCGCUUUCAGCAGGGACGAGGCGAAAGUGACGGUACCUGCAGAAGAAGCCCCGGCUAACUACGUG